GAUGAACGCUGGCGGCGUGCCUAACACAUGCAAGUCGAGCGAACAGGCCAGGGGCUUGUUGCUUUGACGUUAGGGGCACAGGGGCGAGUAACACGAGGAUAACCCCCCUAUAAGACUGAGAUAACUAUGAGAAUGCGGAGCUAAUACCGGAUAAUAUAUUGAUCCGCAUGGGUCAAUAGAGAAGGACGGUUUUGCUGUCAGUUAUAGAUGGAGCCGCGCCGCAUUAGCUAGUUGGUAAGGUAACGGCUUACCAAGGCAACGAUGCGUAGCCGACCUGAGAGGGGGGGAGGCCACACUGGAACGGAGCCGCGGUCCAGACUACUACGGGAGGCAGCAGAAGGGAAUCGUCCGCAGUGGGUGGAAGCCUGGCGGAGCAACGCCGCGUGGGGUGUAAAAUGCCUGGGAUCGGAAAACUCUGCUAUUAGUGAAAAACAAAUGUGUAAGUAACUAUGCACUUCUUGACGGUACCUAAUCAAAAAGCCACGGCUAACUACGUG
RNAcentral lists this ribosomal RNA (497 nucleotides) under uncultured bacterium. Its description in RNAcentral is "partial 16S ribosomal RNA". It matches the Rfam family "Bacterial small subunit ribosomal RNA", at positions 28 to 507 of the family's 1533-position model. The record is from RNAcentral.